AAGUGUAAGGGUGAUUUGGCUACAAACUCUGUCUUCCACUUGGUUGGUCACUAGGGUUUAUUCCACUGCUCUGGCUAGAGGUUGUCACUUUCUUUCCUCACAGCUCCAUGUGUACUUGGUUGAAGAGGACAUCCUUCCCCAGGUAGAGAAAGGAUGUUCUGUCAAGUGUCUAUGAGUAGCUGGGAUCCUCCCCAAACAAGCUAAAACAUGUUAAAAUAUGCUAUGUA
Molecule: small RNA, 227 nt
Filed under: Jaculus jaculus (lesser Egyptian jerboa)
Lineage: Eukaryota; Metazoa; Chordata; Mammalia; Rodentia; Dipodidae
Description: 7SK RNA (ENSJJAG00000004405.1)
Rfam family: 7SK RNA
About the family: 7SK was discovered as an abundant small nuclear RNA in the mid-70s but a possible function has only recently been suggested.
Source: RNAcentral